This 29-nucleotide non-coding RNA is filed under the name Mus musculus (house mouse). The record is from RNAcentral. Lineage: Eukaryota; Metazoa; Chordata; Mammalia; Rodentia; Muridae.
UNGUAGGAAGUGUACUAGGUUCCAAAUGC